GACGAACGCUGGCGGCGUGCUUAACACAUGCAAGUCGAACGGAAAGGCCCUGCUUUUGUGGGGUGCUCGAGUGGCGAACGGGUGAGUAACACGUGAGUAACCUGCCCUUGACUUUGGGAUAACUUCAGGAAACUGGGGCUAAUACCGGAUAGGAGCUCCUGCUGCAUGGUGGGGGUUGGAAAGUUUCGGCGGUUGGGGAUGGACUCGCGGCUUAUCAGCUUGUUGGUGGGGUAGUGGCUUACCAAGGCUUUGACGGGUAGCCGGCCUGAGAGGGUGACCGGCCACAUUGGGACUGAGAUACGGCCCAGACUCCUACGGGAGGCAGCAGUGGGGAAUAUUGCACAAUGGGCGGAAGCCUGAUGCAGCAACGCCGCGUGCGGGAUGACGGCCCUCGGGUUGUAAACCGCUUUCGCCUGUGACGAAGCGUGAGUGACGGCAAUGGGUAAAGAAGCACCGGCUAACUACGUG
Molecule: ribosomal RNA, 468 nt
Filed under: uncultured bacterium
Lineage: Bacteria
Description: partial 16S ribosomal RNA
Rfam family: Bacterial small subunit ribosomal RNA
Source: RNAcentral